Molecule: ribosomal RNA, 440 nt
Filed under: uncultured bacterium
Lineage: Bacteria
Description: partial 16S ribosomal RNA
Rfam family: Bacterial small subunit ribosomal RNA
Source: RNAcentral
CCUACGGGCGGCAGCAGUGGGGAAUAUUGCACAAUGGGGGAAACCCUGAUGCAGCGACGCCGCGUGAGUGAAGAAGUAUCUCGGUACGUAAAGCUCUAUCAGCAGGAAAGAAAAUGACGGUACCUGACUAAGAAGCCCCGGCUAACUACGUGCCAGCAGCCGCGGUAAUACGUAGGGGGCAAGCGUUAUCCGGAUUUACUGGGUGUAAAGGGAGCGUAGACGGCGCUGCAAGUCCGGAGUGAAAGCCCAUGGCUUAACCAUGGUACUGCUCUGGAAACUGUAGAGCUUGAGUGCGGGAGGGGCAGGCGGAAUUCCUAGUGUAGCGGUGAAAUGCGUAGAUAUACGGAGGAACACCAGUGGCGAAGGCGGAUUGCUGGACAGUAACUGACGCUGAGGCGCGAAAGCGUGGGGAGCAAACAGGAUUAGAUACCCGGGUAGUC